UACGUAGGGACCGAGCGUUGUCCGGAAUCAUUGGGCGUAAAGAGCGUGUAGGCGGCUUGUUAAGUCUUGCGUGAAAUCUCGGGGCUCAACCCCGAGCGGUCGUGAGAAACUGGCAGGCUAGAGUGCGGGAGAGGAGAGUGGAAUUCCUGGUGUAGCGGUGAAAUGCGCAGAUAUCAGGGGGAACACCGGUGGCGAAGGCGGUUCUCUGGGCCUUACCUGACGCUGAGGAGCGAAAGCGUGGGGAGCAAACAGG
This 253-nucleotide ribosomal RNA is filed under the name uncultured bacterium. RNAcentral's name for it is "partial 16S ribosomal RNA". It matches the Rfam family "Bacterial small subunit ribosomal RNA", at positions 524 to 776 of the family's 1533-position model. The record is from RNAcentral.